RNAcentral lists this ribosomal RNA (558 nucleotides) under uncultured eukaryote. Its description in RNAcentral is "eukaryotic LSU rRNA". The stretch from base 159 to 311 matches the Rfam family "5.8S ribosomal RNA". The record is from RNAcentral.
UUCCGUAGGUGAACCUGCGGAAGGAUCAUUAACACUAAUCCAUAAAAACUCAACGAAGCCUUUAGUUGCAGCAGUGGUACGUUCGCGUAUAGCUGCCGCAGCAUCUUACAAAACUAAUCCAAGCAAAGGAGCCUAACUAAGCUCAACCACUAAAACCAAAUUCUCAACGGUGGAUGUCUUGGUUCCCACAACGAUGAAGAACGCAGCGAAGUGCGAUAAGCAGUGCGAAUUGCAGAACCGUGAGUCAUCAGAUUUUUGAACGCAACUGGCGCCGUGUGGGCUCGCCCGCCGGCACGCCUGGUCCAGUGUCUUGUUCUCUCCUCACCUAAAUCUUCAUGCGAGAGAUGCCCUUCUCUUGCUAAGCAUGAAAGCACUCUGCAUUCUGCGAGCGGCCUUCGGGUCGCACUCCAUGCAGCAGUCACAUUGCUCACAAUGUGAACUCAUGGAGAGUAGAGGCAGUGCAGCGACAGCUGCCAGUGCUUAGACACACCAACUUAGGUACAGUAUCUGGGCUCAGGUGGGACCACCCGCUGAACUUAAGCAUAUCAAUAAGCGGAG